This 492-nucleotide ribosomal RNA is filed under the name uncultured bacterium. RNAcentral describes it as "partial 16S ribosomal RNA". It matches the Rfam family "Bacterial small subunit ribosomal RNA", at positions 29 to 507 of the family's 1533-position model. The record is from RNAcentral.
AGUGAACGCUGGCGGUAGGCCUAACACAUGCAAGUCGAACGGCAGCACAGUAAGGGCUUGCUCUUACGGGUGGCGAGUGGCGGACGGGUGAGGAAUACAUCGUAAUCUACUUUUUCGUGGGGGAUAACGUAGGGAAACUUACGCUAAUACCGCAUACGACCUACGGGUGAAAGCAGGGGAUCUUCGGACCUUGCGCGAUUGAAUGAGCCGAUGUCGGAUUAGCUAGUUGGCGGGGUAAAGGCCCACCAAGGCGACGAUCCGUAGCUGGUCUGAGAGGAUGAUCAGCCACACUGGAACUUAGACACGGUCCAGACUCCUCCGGGAGGCAGCAGUGGGGAAUAUUGGACAAUGGGCGCAAGCCUGAUCCAGCCAUACCGCGUGGGUGAAGAAGGCCUUCGGGUUGUAAAGCCCUUUUGUUGGGAAAGAAAAGCAGCAGGUUAAUACCCCGCUGUUCUGACGGUACCCAAAGAAUAAGCACCGGCUAACUUCGUG